RNAcentral lists this long non-coding RNA (530 nucleotides) under Mytilus galloprovincialis (Mediterranean mussel). Lineage: Eukaryota; Metazoa; Mollusca; Bivalvia; Mytilida; Mytilidae. The record is from RNAcentral.
UUUUUUUUUAUUUUGUAUAUAAAUAUUCCAAAAUCAUUUAAAGUCUUAAACAUGUCAACUUGCAUAAGAUUGAUUUCUGUCUGAGCCAGGUUAUAAGGGGUCCAUAAUCUUUUUUUAAACAAAUACAAUAUCUCUAUAUAAAGAUAAGGAGAUGAGGUAUGUUGACUAAUGAGACUACUGGGACAGCUAUUCACCAGUUAUAAUGAGGUAUAGGUAAUAAUAUAUCACUAUAAAGUAUGUAGCAAUUAGAAAAACCCAUACAGUCCGAGUACACAGUUAUCAUCUUUUGAUUUUCGUUGUCCACAAAUAUAGUCCCUUGUGUGGACAGUGUGUUACUUGCCAAUUUUUUUAAAACCCCAUCAAAUUUAUUUCUUCAUGUUUUAUGCCUCUAUUUAAAUAGCCAGUAGGGGAAUGGAAUUACACUGCAAAAAAUUUGGGUCAUGAAUUUGAAAGUUAAGUAGUGAUUUGGUCCAGCUAAGAAAGGUGAAAAAUUAGCUUUUCAGAAGCUGUCAAAAAGAUUUCAAGACCCC